Molecule: ribosomal RNA, 418 nt
Filed under: uncultured bacterium
Lineage: Bacteria
Description: bacterial SSU rRNA
Rfam family: Bacterial small subunit ribosomal RNA
Source: RNAcentral
UGGGGAAUAUUGCACAAUGGGCGCAAGCCUGAUGCAGCAACGCCGCGUGAACGAAGAAGGUCUUCAGGAUUGUAAAGUUCUGUCCUUAGGGAAGAAGAAAGUGACGGUACCUAAGGAGGAAGCCCCGGCUAACUACGUGCCAGCAGCCGCGGUAAUACGUAGGGGGCAAGCGUUAUCCGGAAUGAUUGGGCGUAAAGAGUACGUAGGUGGUUUCGUAAGCGCAGGGUGAAAGGCAGUGGCUUAACCAUUGUAAGCCUUGCGAACUGCGAGACUUGAGUGCAGGAGAGGAAAGCGGAAUUCCUAGUGUAGCGGUGAAAUGCUUAGAUAUUAGGAGGAACACCAGUGGCGAAGGCGGCUUUCUGGACUGUAACUGACACUGAGGUACGAAAGCGUGGGGAGCAAACAGGAUUAGAUACCC